Molecule: transfer RNA, 77 nt
Filed under: Bifidobacterium longum
Lineage: Bacteria; Bacillati; Actinomycetota; Actinomycetes; Bifidobacteriales; Bifidobacteriaceae
Description: tRNA-Met
Rfam family: tRNA
About the family: Transfer RNA (tRNA) molecules are approximately 80 nucleotides in length. Their secondary structure includes four short double-helical elements and three loops (D, anti-codon, and T loops).
Source: RNAcentral
CGCGGGGUGGAGCAGCUCGGUAGCUCGCUGGGCUCAUAACCCAGAGGUCCAUGGUUCAAAUCCAUGUCCCGCUACCA